GCAAGUCGAACGAUCGGCCUUCGGAAGCUUGCUUCUGGAGGUCCGGAGUGGCGCACGGGUGAGUAACGCGUAGGUAAUCUGCCUCACAAUCUGGGAUAGCCGGCCGAAAGGUCAAUUAAUACCGGAUACGACAUCAGGACGGGAUCGUCUUGGUGGGAAAGGUCCUCACAGGGAUUGUUGUGAGAUGGGCUUGCGUACUAUUAGCUAGUUGGUGAGGUAAUGGCUCACCAAGGCUAUGAUGGUUAGCCGGCUUGAGAGAGUGAAC
This 265-nucleotide ribosomal RNA is filed under the name uncultured bacterium. Its description in RNAcentral is "partial 16S ribosomal RNA". It matches the Rfam family "Bacterial small subunit ribosomal RNA", at positions 57 to 305 of the family's 1533-position model. The record is from RNAcentral.